Molecule: ribosomal RNA, 253 nt
Filed under: uncultured bacterium
Lineage: Bacteria
Description: partial 16S ribosomal RNA
Rfam family: Bacterial small subunit ribosomal RNA
Source: RNAcentral
UACGUAGGGGGCAAGCGUUGUCCGGAUUUAUUGGGCGUAAAGAGCGUGUAGGCGGUUAGGUAGGUUCGUUGUGAAAACUCGAGGCUCAACCUCGAGACGCCGAUGGAAACCAUCUAACUAGAGUCCGGAAGAGGAGAGUGGAAUUCCUGGUGUAGCGGUGAAAUGCGCAGAUAUCAGGAAGAACACCCGUGGCGAAGGCGGCUCUCUAGUACGGUACUGACGCUGAGACGCGAAAGCGUGGGGAGCGAACAGG